This 621-nucleotide long non-coding RNA is filed under the name Nicotiana benthamiana. RNAcentral describes it as "long non-coding RNA (NBEN_LNC014141)". Lineage: Eukaryota; Viridiplantae; Streptophyta; Magnoliopsida; Solanales; Solanaceae. The record is from RNAcentral.
AUAGUAGGAUGAAGCUUGAAAGUUUGAAGUCAGAAACGAAGUUUACCGACAACCGCAUCAUAGUGAAAUGUACUGGUAGCUACACCAUUCAGAGUGUGGCAAUGAAUGUUCAUGAUGCUCGUAAAUCCAAGUCAGUGAAAGUUCUAAACCUUUAUUACAAUAACAGGCCUGUGGCUGACUUGUCAGAGUUGAAAAACAAUUGGUCCCUUUGGGAACCUUUAUUACAAUAACAGACCUGUGGCUGACUUGUCAGAGUUGAAAAACAAUUGGUCCCUCUGGAAGCGUGCAAAAAGCUGUCAUCUUGCUUUUAAUCAAACUGAGCUGAAAGUUGAUUUUGCCAUCCCAAUUACAGCGGGUAAUUUUAUGAUUGAAUUGGAUUCAUUUUAUGAAAAUCUUCAAGCUUUGUCCCUCGAGCCGUUGCAGUGUCCCCGUUGCAGUCGGGCUGUGACUGAUAAGCACGGUAUUUGCAGUAAUUGUCAUGAGAAUGCUUAUCAAUGCAGACAGUGCAGGAACAUCAACUAUGAAAAUCUUGAUUCCUUUUUAUGCAAUGAGUGUGGGUACAGCAAAUAUGGUCGCUUUGAAUUUAAUUUUAUGGCAAAGCCAAGUUUCACUUUUGAUAGC